GACGAACGCUGGCGGCGUGCCUAAUACAUGCAAGUAGAACGCUGAAGAGAGGAGCUUGCUCUUCUUGGAUGAGUUGCGAACGGGUGAGUAACGCGUAGGUAACCUGCCUGGUAGCGGGGGAUAACUAUUGGAAACGAUAGCUAAUACCGCAUAAUAGUAGAUGUUGCAUGACAUUUGCUUAAAAGGUGCAAUUGCAUCACUACCAGAUGGACCUGCGUUGUAUUAGCUAGUUGGUGAGGUAACGGCUCACCAAGGCAACGAUACAUAGCCGACCUGAGAGGGUGAUCGGCCACACUGGGACUGAGACACGGCCCAGACUCCUACGGGAGGCAGCAGUAGGGAAUCUUCGGCAAUGGACGGAAGUCUGACCGAGCAACGCCGCGUGAGUGAAGAAGGUUUUCGGAUCGUAAAGCUCUGUUGUAAGAGAAGAACGAGUGUGAGAGUGGAAAGCUCACACUGUGACGGUAUCUACCAGAAAGGAC
Molecule: ribosomal RNA, 482 nt
Filed under: Streptococcus sp. oral taxon 064
Lineage: Bacteria; Bacillati; Bacillota; Bacilli; Lactobacillales; Streptococcaceae
Description: bacterial SSU rRNA
Rfam family: Bacterial small subunit ribosomal RNA
Source: RNAcentral